Molecule: ribosomal RNA, 467 nt
Filed under: uncultured bacterium
Lineage: Bacteria
Description: partial 16S ribosomal RNA
Rfam family: Bacterial small subunit ribosomal RNA
Source: RNAcentral
GACGAACGCUGGCGGCGUGCUUAACACAUGCAAGUCGAACGGAAAGGCCCUGCUUUUGUGGGGUGCUCGAGUGGCGAACGGGUGAGUAACACGUGAGUAACCUGCCCUUGACUUUGGGAUAACUUCAGGAAACUGGGGCUAAUACCGGAUAGGAGCUCCUGCUGCAUGGUGGGGGUUGGAAAGUUUCGGCGGUUGGGGAUGGACUCGCGGCUUAUCAGCUUGUUGGUGGGGUAGUGGCUUACCAAGGCUUUGACGGGUAGCCGGCCUGAGAGGGUGACCGGCCACAUGGGGACUGAGAUACGGCCCAGACGCCUACGGGAGGCAGCAGUGGGGAAUAUUGCACAAGGGGCGGAAGCCUGAUGCAGCAACGCCGCGUGCGGGAUGACGGCCUUCGGGUUGGAAACCGCUUUCGCCUGUGACGAAGCGUGAGUGACGGUAAUGGGGAAAGAAGCACCGGCUAACUACGG